GUCACAACAAGGUCAUUCAGGAGAGGGAAGUGGAACCACGCUUCUCUAAUAGCCUCGCUGCAGCUACCCACUGGAUAUUGGAUCGGAUCGAUCCGGUUCGGGAACAUAGGAACAAUAUGUAUUCUAAAUUCAAGUGAAAGUAUUACAAGAAAUUGUGGAAGGGUGGUGCUACAUGUUUCAAGCAACACCUUUCAAGAAACCAUGGAGGGGGAGAGGUAGCACGUAUGAGACGAGUGGUGGCUCCUACCAUGAGGGUGUUCGUGCCAUGUUUGGGAGAACAUCUUUUAGGAAGGAGAAGAUGCUACACAAAACCAAUAUCACAACACACUUGAGGAGCGUAGGACCACGUUCACGGAUGAUGAAGUGACUCGUCAAACAAUGAGGUCGGUGUACUAAUGGGAGGAGCCCGAGUACUACUAAAUAUUGGUGAACUCAUGGAGUGCACUUCUAUAUGGAUCGAGCAGAAUUGGGCGAAAUACAAG
RNAcentral lists this long non-coding RNA (482 nucleotides) under Zea mays. RNAcentral describes it as "drought responsive lncRNA". The record is from RNAcentral. Lineage: Eukaryota; Viridiplantae; Streptophyta; Magnoliopsida; Poales; Poaceae.